GGGGGUGUCACAGAGCUGGGAACUCGCUCAGAGCCAGGGUCUCUGCUGGGGUCAGCGUCUGUACGCUAAAGCCAGGGCGCAAAGUGCGUGGGCACUGCGGACACUAGAGGCUUAUGGCGCUGGAAAUACAAGGCCGAGUUGCCGGCGCAAAGAGUUCCCCGGGCGGGUUGGUGAUGCGGCGCGCUUUGAUAACAGGUUAAUCCGGCCAACAUUCGCUCCGCGAGAGAGCCAUCGGAGGGCUCCGGGAGACUGCGGCGCCACGGAGGGAGAGGCGGCGAGAGGCCCCUCUGCGAGCACCCUCUGGGCGCAGUGCGGUGGGCUAUGCUCUGCGCAGCCCCGGGCGCGCCUGGGUUCUCAGAGCCCAAGACCUGAGCCGCUCCGAGCGCAGGGCGCCAGUUCUCUUUCAGAAGCGGGAGAAGUUCAGGUGCCCAACACCUUGAUCAGUGCCUGCUUUGUAGUAGGCAUUCAAAUACUGUGGACUGGAUGAAUGGAGUCACUUCCCUUCCAACCUGCACACCAACGUGGUUGAACUGCCUCCUUUCUAAGUGCCAAAGUCUGUUUUACAAGGCUGAUAUCAAAGGAGCAUUACAAAAUAUUGUCUAACAGAAGUACCAGGGCUGGAUCCCAAAGUUUUGUGUAGAUCUUGAUAAAGAGUUUGGAUUUUAUUCUAACAAGAGUGAAGAGCAUGACAAUGUUUGCAGAAGAGUGAUGGCUUCUUUCAGGCAACAGUGACAAUUACACCUCCUCUUUUUCUCUUUGAUCCUCCACCCUCUCCCUCCAGCACCUGGUACAAAGCUGGGUACCCAGCAGACACUCUGUAAAUUAAAGUGCUGCCAGCCUGAACAAUCUCAGUGGAAG
This 858-nucleotide long non-coding RNA is filed under the name Homo sapiens (human). Its description in RNAcentral is "non-protein coding lnc-EMX2-2:2". The record is from RNAcentral. Lineage: Eukaryota; Metazoa; Chordata; Mammalia; Primates; Hominidae.